AUCUUAGUUUGGUCAUUUUUCUUCAUUUUAUUUAUUUUUAUUCGUCACAGGAACAAUCACUCUUCUUCAGCCUUUGAAUCUUGACAACCCAAGUAACUCCAAAAUCUACUCUUUGGAAACUGAGGCAACAGAUAAUGGGAAUAAUACCAGCAGCUAUAUGUUUACAGUUUUUGUGGAGAAUGUAGAUGAUCCUAUUUCCUGUGAUCCAAGUUUUUUAACAGGAGCAGUCUUCCAAAAUUAUAGUAAACUUUAAAAAGAUACACGUGGAUCUCAAGAAGGUCAUUUUGACCCGAUUUCUACUACAAGCUUGGCUGAACCAGCAUAAACUGCUAGAGCAGUACCAAGAUCGGGAUGUCUUCCUCUUCCAUCAUCUGGGCUGUGGGCCUUGGGACAUAAGAGAAGCGAGGACAAGAAGUCACUUUCUGUUUAAAGUAGGGCAACUCUGUGGGUCUCUGUGACCAAGAAUUACCAAAGACAUUGACAUGAUUUUCAAGCUGCUGAUUUGACACACACAUAUUCAAUUCAUUUACUGGGUUUAAUUAUCCAGUUGCUAUAAUUAACCAGAACAAAUCACUAAAUUAGAGAAUCUGCCUACACAUGUUCAGUUUGAAACAAAGGUUCAAAAUAAGCAAGUCCUAGUCGCACCAAAGUUGUUCUAUAACAUCCUUAGAAAGUCCUGUAAAGAGACCCUUACAGGACUACCCAGUCUAGAUUGUGAUACAAUAUUCACUGGAUUUGAUAUCCAAGAUUCAGCUGCACAGUAAACAUUAAGC
This 773-nucleotide long non-coding RNA is filed under the name Pan paniscus (pygmy chimpanzee). RNAcentral describes it as "lncRNA (ENSPPAG00000045303.1)". Lineage: Eukaryota; Metazoa; Chordata; Mammalia; Primates; Hominidae. The record is from RNAcentral.